RNAcentral lists this long non-coding RNA (551 nucleotides) under Falco tinnunculus (common kestrel). Its description in RNAcentral is "lncRNA (ENSFTIG00000005137.1)". The stretch from base 147 to 420 matches the Rfam family "SOX2 overlapping transcript exon 3". The record is from RNAcentral. Lineage: Eukaryota; Metazoa; Chordata; Aves; Falconiformes; Falconidae.
UUGUAGUCUUCUUGUCCAGUUCUCAGGUGUUUACCACCUAUUAGAAUUUCACCUGUAUGGGUCCUGUGUUUGAGAAAGUCCCAGGACUUGUCAGCUGUAUAGGCCUCAUAAAAGACAGCUCUGUUCAGGGUUUGAAAGGGACUGCAGUUAAAAGCCAGGGCUAGGACUUGGAGGAUGUGUAGGCAAACGGAAGGAGAGCCGGGGGAAGAAAAACCGAAAUGGAUUCAUUCUCUGUCCUGGAUGGAGGAGGAGAGGAGAGGAGAGGAGAAGGGGACGUGCGAGCUUCCUUCAACUGCCUCUGUCCGGUGAAAAGUGCUCAGACCCCCGGGGCUGAGCCGGGCUCAGGAGUCCACGCGGACUUUCGCUUUAAGCUGCCAAUCAAACCGCUAACUAGCCACCACCCUGCGCUGGCACCGACAUGGUCUGCGGGAUCUCCCUCUGUGAGAGGCAACUCGGGCAGCUCGGUCCUCUCUGCAGUCUCAGCACUGCCAGUGGAGAAGCCCAGGAGUGCAGAGCAGUGGCUGAGCAGCAAUUUGAAUAUUCAUAUUUAA